GACGAACGCUGGCGGCAUGCCUAACACAUGCAAGUCUAGGGGUAGCAAUACCACUGGCGCACGGGGUGAGUAACACGUAGGUUAUCUGCCCCCAUCACAGACAUAACCCCGGGAAACCGGGGCUAAUAUCUGAUGAGGUCGCGAGAUCAAAGCUUCGGCGGAUGGGGAUGAGCCUGCGGCUGAUUAGCUAGUUGGUGAGGUAAUGGCUCACCAAGGCGACGAUCAGUAGCUGGUCUGAGAGGACGAACAGCCACACUGGAACUGAGACACGGUCCAGACUCCUACGGGAGGCAGCAGUGAGGAAUAUUGGUCAAUGGGAGCAAUCCUGAACCAGCAAUGCCGCGUGUGGGAUGACAGGGCUUCGCCUUGUAAACCACUGUCGGACGGGACGAAAGGAGGCCUCGGGCCUCUGGGACGGUACCGUCAAAGGAAGGGUCGGCUAACUACGUGCCAGCAGCCGCGGUAAU
This 467-nucleotide ribosomal RNA is filed under the name uncultured bacterium. Its description in RNAcentral is "bacterial SSU rRNA". It matches the Rfam family "Bacterial small subunit ribosomal RNA", at positions 28 to 524 of the family's 1533-position model. The record is from RNAcentral.